Long non-coding RNA from Oncorhynchus tshawytscha (Chinook salmon), 462 nucleotides. NCBI's taxonomy places the organism in Eukaryota, Metazoa, Chordata, Actinopteri, Salmoniformes, Salmonidae. The record is from Ensembl.
AAAUAAGAGAGACUGAACCAGAAGGACAGAGAGAGGGAGAGAGAGAGAGAUAGAACCAGGACAGAGUGAGAGAGAGCGAGAGAGAUAGAGAGUGAACCAGAAGGACAGAGAGAGAGAGAGAGAGAGAGUGAACCAGAAGGACAGAGAGAGAGAGAGAGUGAACCAGAAGGACAGAGAGAGAGAGAAAGCGAGAGUGAGAGAGAGACAGAGAGAGUGAGAGAGAGAGAGAGAGAGAGAGUGAACCAGAAGGACAGAGAGAGAGAGAGAGAGAGACAGAGAGAGAGAGAACCAACCAGAAGGACAGAGAGAGAGAGAGAGAGAGAGAGAGAGAGAGAGACAGAGUGAACCAGAAGGACAGAGAGAGAGAGAGAGAGAGAGAGAGAGAGACAGAGUGAACCAGGACAGAGAGAGAGAGAGAGAGACAGAGUGAACCAGAAGGACAGAGAGAGAGGGGGGGGGGGG